This 1968-nucleotide long non-coding RNA is filed under the name Homo sapiens (human). RNAcentral describes it as "HSALNT0044513". The record is from RNAcentral. Lineage: Eukaryota; Metazoa; Chordata; Mammalia; Primates; Hominidae.
AUAACCUACUACACACCUAAGCUAUAUGUUAUGUUUUAUGUAUGUCUUUUAGGCUACAAGCCUGUACAGAAUGUUAUGACACUGUAUACUGGAGGCAACUCUAACACAAUGGAUCUAUUGCUUUCAAUUUAUAAGUUUGAUCAACUGCUGCCAAAAGGAGAGUUUUAUCUUCAGAUAAAAAUGAUUGAAUAUGAUGGUUAAAGAUUUCUUUUAUUAUAAAACUCGCUAUUUUUGAAACAGACCCUUUAUCAGGAAAAGCAGUGCUUGUGCAUUCUUCCAAAAGUAUUCUGAUAAGUUUCUCACAUACAACAUUGAGAAGAAAAACUGAUUUUGAGGAGAGCUGUAGGUUAUUGUACAUGAAUCACUCCUACUAAGAGAUCCUGAAAGAGGUCAUCAAAGCCACCAGAAACUAUUCCUGGACAGAGGAGGUUUUAUAGGUGUGGUUGGUCUCCUUACUGACGUGUCAACUACAAAUGCACAGGGUUCUGCCUGAAAUGUUUUAGUUGUUGCAGAUGUGUAGCUUCUAUAUGUAAAGUCUUCACUGCACGUGCUACAGAAACUUGAACUAUCUGAAGAGAGGAUGGAGUCAUCAGAUACUGGGAACAAGAAGACUAAGCAAUAAGUGAGAAAAGAAAUGAUGGAAUAGAUGUGAGGCUUCCACAGCAAACUCCUGUAAAACCUGCAGUUAAACCUGAGCAAGAGGAAUGUGACAUAUGUGUCUUUGCUCUUUAUUUGGAUCUGUGUGUAUGCUCUUGGAGCAGUGGCGAAGAAGCUCCAGGGUAAUCUAAAAACCAAAAUAAAUGCCUUGAGAUCUUUUCUGGGAAUGAAAAAAUACAAAGACAAGCUAAGAAGCUGGAGCAGGAAAUUGACUUCAAACUCUGCUUGGAGAAUCACCAGCUGCAAAACUGUAUGGGGCAAAUUUCUCAUAAGAGUAUAGAGGAUGUGACACUGUACAGAGUUCACACUCAUGACUCAAUGAUGAAAUGGAAACCAGGAAGACCUGAUUAUGCAUGUCUGUGAAACUCACCCAUGCCAUCUGGAAAGGAAAAAGUUAAGUUGCAUUUCUGCAAUACAUUCUCUCCCUUCCCUGAGCUGCUCCUGGAAUAUAAAGAAAGCAAGGAAAUAUUUACUGGGCCUUCAGCUUUCUGUACUACUUCGGAACAGCACUAGCAUCUAUCUCAGGGUUUAAAAUAUGGAAGUUCUUGCCUUCCUUGAAUCUUUUCUCCCAGAAAUAACAUAUUGGCUCUCUUCCCUGUGACAUGCCUCAUCUGACAUUGGCUGGCUUUCAUAUAAAACCUUUGUUUUAGCCUACUAUCAAUUCAACUUUUACAUUGACAAAACGUAAUUUUUGGUUGUCAAUGUAAAAGUUGACAUUUUUACAUUCAACUUUAAUUUAAAUGCUGAAUUUAAAUUUAAAUGCUGAAAAUUUAUUUAAACACUUAAAAUGAUAUUAGAAGAGGUAUUUUAUGUUUUUAAACAGAGAUAUAUUUCAUUUUUAUAUGCAGUCAACAGAUCACAUGUGUAUGUCUCUUAUGUGUUCCUGUGUGGGAAUAGCUUGAAUUACUACAUAAGUUCUCUGAGAAUAUUAAGUUCAUUUAGGGGAACAGGACAUAUCUAUAUGAAAAACAGAAAUAAUACUACAAACAAAAGAGAGAUCACGAGAUAACAUGUAAUUAAUUCUCAGUGAAUGACAUGUCAUGAAAUCAUCAGAAGAGAUGAGGAUAUGGGAAAAGCUUUAUGAAAGUAGUCAGAACCAUAAGGAAGAUUCGGUUUUGUUAAACAGAAAGACCUUUUUCCAUUGUGGUAUUAAGUUUAAUAUGAUUUUCAUUGUAUUAAAAUACUAAUGCAGUAAGUUGAAAAUAUAAUUGCAUUCUUUUCAUUUAAUCUAUUGUAAAAUAUAUAAUCAAAAUGAUAUACUUGUAAAAUAAUUACAUAUAUAAUAAAAUCAAUAUACCUGUAAAAGAAUCA